GUACUCACCUGGCAGGGGACACACCAUGAUCGUGAAGGUGGUUUUCCCAGGGCGAGGCUUACCCAUUGCACUCCGGAUGUGCUGACCCCUGCGAUUUCCCCAAAUGUGGGAAACUUGACUGCAUAAUUUGUAGUAGUGGGGGACUGCGUUCGCGCUCUCCCCUG
Molecule: small nuclear RNA, 164 nt
Filed under: Cebus imitator (Panamanian white-faced capuchin)
Lineage: Eukaryota; Metazoa; Chordata; Mammalia; Primates; Cebidae
Description: U1 spliceosomal RNA (ENSCCAG00000006566.1)
Rfam family: U1 spliceosomal RNA
About the family: U1 is a small nuclear RNA (snRNA) component of the spliceosome (involved in pre-mRNA splicing). Its 5' end forms complementary base pairs with the 5' splice junction, thus defining the 5' donor site of an intron.
Source: Rfam by way of RNAcentral